RNAcentral lists this transfer RNA (72 nucleotides) under Hepatospora eriocheir. It matches the Rfam family "tRNA". Rfam says of the family: Transfer RNA (tRNA) molecules are approximately 80 nucleotides in length. Their secondary structure includes four short double-helical elements and three loops (D, anti-codon, and T loops). The record is from Rfam by way of RNAcentral. Lineage: Eukaryota; Fungi; Microsporidia; Hepatosporidae.
GGAUCAAUAGUGUAGUGGUUAACAUCUUGGUUUCCAAGUCCAAGGAUGUGGGUUCGAUUCCCACUUGGUCCC